CAGAAUGUGCCAUCACUGUGACCCAUCACCGCCGGUUUUGGGUGAGCCGGCAGUGAUGGGUCUUCUGUACCAGCCCAAAAAUUCAAACUCAAAAAUCUCUCGAAUUCAAAAACUUCAAAACCUAUUUUCAAAGCAUAAUUUCAAAAUAUUGCAAAACUAUCCUUGAGCUUAAAUCUUGUUGCAUCAAAAAUCCUCAUCAAGCCUAAUUGUUCUUUAACUCAUCAAUCGUAUAGCCAAUCAGUUACCUUCCUUUCUUUUCUCUUAAGCCACCAACACCUAAUCUCUUUUUCCUCCCCUAAGCUGCACAAUCAUGCACUCCACCUUCUCGAACUCGAUGCACCACAUCCAUUUCGGUCACCUGCUCAAACUCGAUGCACCACACCCAUUUCGGUCCACCUAGUCAAGCUUGGUGCAUCACACAUGUUUCACUCCACCUGCUCGAGCUCGGUGCACCGCACCCAUUUCGGUCCAUCAACAUCCAUGCGAUCCACCGCACCAUCUCCUCCUAUAAAAGGGAGCAAGGGGCAUCUCUCCUCCACAACUCCAAGCUUGCCAAGCUACUCAUCUCCUUCGUUCCUCCAAAUUUCAUCCUCUAUUUUUGCAUAAGAGGAAGGCCAGCCUCAUCGAUCUCCGACGACAAGGGGAAGGCCAUCCUCAUCGAUCUUCGACGACACACCCACCUCUACCUUCCCUACACCCGUACCGAAUUAAGCCCAUAAAGCACCCAUAUCUCAACCAUCCAAACUCCGAUUCACUUGAUUCUUUUUCUUAAAUUGCUCUAAAAUUGUUUUUGGAAUUUAAUUAGCAGCCAACAUUCCAAACACCAUAUCUCAACCAUCCAAACUCCGAUUCACGUGAUUCUUUUUCUUAAAUUGCUCUAUAAUUAUAUUCUAUCUAUUCCAGCUAUUCUCCUC
Molecule: long non-coding RNA, 914 nt
Filed under: Setaria viridis
Lineage: Eukaryota; Viridiplantae; Streptophyta; Magnoliopsida; Poales; Poaceae
Description: long non-coding RNA (SVIR_LNC000336)
Source: RNAcentral